GGUUGUUGACAAGGUUCAGACUUGAGACGGAAAAUCAGUAAGCUUCAGGCAACCUCCUGCACAGCUCGAAACACAUCAGUUUUGAUUCAACUGCUUACUAAUCACCCCGUAGGGAUAACAGGAUUUUGUUAUGUAUGUGCUUUCGCAAUUGAACAUUUAAUCACCUGCCGAUAAGUGUUCAAGGAAAUGGUUUCAACACACCAUUUUUCCCGCACUGCACAUCCUUGUUUAUUUUUGGCCCUUGAAUCGAAUAAAGCGAAGGAGAAUCAAGCGACAAUUUUAAACACGGGUGCUGAUGAAAUCACUUCCCAAGUGUUUAAUCCGAUGACAUUUUGUCUAUCAUGUUUUAGUAACAGAAGUUUGUAGAAUCUAACUAUGAAAUUGCUCUUUCUCCUGUGGUUUGAAAGAAAAGGAAAGGGAAAGGGAGCCAAAUGGCCGGUCAGGUUAACCCCAUUCCUAACAGCAUCAAGAAGCUAUGAGACAAAUGGAACCUCAGGGGCUUCAUCCUCUUAAGCCUCACAUUGCAGACGCUUUUAAUUCUUUUUGCACCCGCGCGAAAGCGGAAUGGGGAUAAUGUUCAUCGUUUGGUCAUCUUACUUGCUUGCUGACUGGGCUGCUAACUUUGCAAUUGGAUUAAUCUCAAACAGCCAAGGCGACCAUGCAGGUGACGACUAUCCUGGUGAUCUUCUGGCGUUUUGGGCUCCCUUUCUUUUGUUGCACCUUGGCGGUCCAGACACCAUUACUGUGUUUGCGCUUGAAGAUAACACUCUGUGGCUCAGGCACUUUCUUGGCCUCAUAUUCCAAGUUGCAGCUGCUGUGUAUGUCUUCAUUCGAUGCUUUCCCAAAAACAAACUGUGGCUCCCAACCGGCCUCCUUUUUCUUGCUGGAAUCAUCAAGUAUGCUGAGCGCACAUGGUCCUUGUAUAGUGGAAGUUUCGAUAUUUUCAAGGAAGCCAUGAUAAAAGAAGCUGAUCCAGGAUCGAAUUAUGCGAAGCUUAUGGAAUAGUACUCCUCGAGAAAAGAUUCCCAACUUCCAACUCACAUAGAACUCACAGCAGAACGCAUCAAGGAAUCUAGGACGGUGACUUACGUGAUAGGCAAAGAUGAGCUGGACAGUGAUAUUGCAGGGGUGUAACAUGCUCGUUAUUUCUAUCAAAUCUUCAAGGGUCUAAUUAUGGAUCUCAUUUUCAGCUUCCAUGAACCCAGGAGAGUCGAGCAGUCUUCCAUGAAAGAACACCGAAAGAAGCAUUUAAAUUAAUUGCAGCUGAGCUCAACUUUAUGUAUGAAGCUUUCGUCACCAAGGCUGCUGUGGUGCAUACUAAGCCAGCAUACAUUCUCCGGGUGGUUUCUUUCAGUGUGAUUGUCGUAGCCCUUGUUUUCUUCCAUAGAUUAGAGAAAGAGGGUUUCCACUCGUUUGAUGUUAGAAUUGCCUAUACCUUGCUUUUUGAUGCCAUAAGCUUGGAUUCAAUAGCUAUUAUCAUGCUUACAUUCUCAGAUUGGACCAUUGCUGCUCUGAGUAAGUUUUGGCAAAAUUGUCGUCUAGCUAAAACUAUUUUCGGAAAGUAUCUCGAUUUCAAGAGAUCGUGGUGGUGGCCUACGGCAAAAACAAGAAAUGAGGGUGGCCACAUUCCUAAAACAAAAGCAACGAAAUGUUUGGAGUGGAUUAGGAGAAUCCUAUUUCGGAGGUCGUACGAAUCUGUCUCUACAUUCAACUUGAUACAUUACUCCCUCAAGGAGAAGCGGAAAAUGUCCUCGAAAUGGUAUGACUACUUUGGCAUUGGUUACAUUAGAGUCAUCACCUUAUUUGGCCUCAAGGAUCUUCAUGAUAAGUUGACAUAUAGGACCAAAAAGCCGCUCGUUGAAGAGUUAUGGAUUUUUAUUUUUGAGCAGUUGAUAAGUAAAUCCAUGCUCGCUGAUGAUCCUGAAACUGCAAGGAAAAUAGGUGCGGCCAGAGGUGAUUGGGUCUUCGAGGGUAACGAUUAGGAUAGUAAGGUGAUCACUAAGUUACUAUCUUACGUUGUUGAUGUGGAAUAUGACAAGAGCAUUUUAUUGUGGCACAUUGCUACAGAGUUGUGUUUCAACGAUGACAAAAGCAAGGCUGAAGGUGAAGCUGGGCCUGAAGUUAGUGAUGAAACUAAAAAAAGUAAAGAACACAGUAAGACCAUAUCUGAGUAUAUGUUGUACCUCUUAGUUAUGCAGCCUUCUAUGAUGUCUUCUAUAACAGGAAUUGGACAAACAAGAUUCCGGGACGCAUGCGCAGAAGCCAAGAAAUUCUUCAGCAGAAGGGAUCUAGGAUCCGGACAAGUGAAAGAAGCUUGUGAAAAACUCCUGGAGGUAAAUACAGAUGUUGAGCCUGUUGCUGUCAAAGGGGAUAGAAGCAAAUCUGUGUUGUUCGAUGCUUGUAUUCUGGCCAAAGAGUUGAGAAAAUUGAAGGACAAGAAAUGGGAGCUGAUGAGCAAAAAGUGGGUGGAAAUUAUGUCUUAUACUGCAAGUCAUUGCCGAGCGAAUGACAAUGCUCAACUGCUGAGCAAGAGAGCUAGUGACUUUUGUUUGGUUAUUGAUGGCUCAUUUUGGCAUAGGAGAGCAGUUCCAAAUAAAUGAGGGCCAUGCGAGAGCAAAACUCAUCGUGGGAAAGUGAACGGAGGUACUGAACCUGAAUACUUGAAUGAAAAUACUUGGAUGUUAUUGAAAAGCGUCAAAUCUUGUAGACAUUAACGCUUGUUUAAAUGACUGCAAAAACUCAUGAAAUUUAGAACAAGAAUGAGCAUGUCCAAAGCUUGUGCUCCAAGCCAAAACAAGUGCGUGCUAGCAAUUAAUUGCA
This is an RNA transcript of Pyrus x bretschneideri (Chinese white pear), 2820 nucleotides long. RefSeq lists it as uncharacterized. The record is from RefSeq and is a predicted model, not a curated record. The transcript has 2 exons. NCBI's taxonomy places the organism in Eukaryota, Viridiplantae, Streptophyta, Magnoliopsida, Rosales, Rosaceae.